This 330-nucleotide ribosomal RNA is filed under the name uncultured bacterium. RNAcentral describes it as "bacterial SSU rRNA". It matches the Rfam family "Bacterial small subunit ribosomal RNA", at positions 568 to 898 of the family's 1533-position model. The record is from RNAcentral.
UGCGUAGGCGGUCCCGCAAGUCCGCUGUGAAAGCCCCGGGCUUAACCUGGGAAUGGCAGUGGAAACUAGGGGACUUGAAUCUGGCAGAGGGGGGUGGAAUGCCACGUGUAGCAGUGAAAUGCGUAGAGAUGUGGCGGAACACCGAUGGCGAAGGCAGCCCCCUGGGCUGAGAUUGACGCUCAGGCACGAAAGCGUGGGGAGCAAACAGGAUUAGAUACCCUGGUAGUCCACGCCCUAAACGAUGAUCACUAGGUGUUGGGGAAGCGAUUUCUCAGUACCGCAGCUAACGCGUGAAGUGAUCCGCCUGGGGAGUACGGUCGCAAGAUUAAA